Non-coding RNA from Nomascus leucogenys (northern white-cheeked gibbon), 310 nucleotides. It matches the Rfam family "Metazoan signal recognition particle RNA". From Rfam's summary of the family: The signal recognition particle (SRP) is a universally conserved ribonucleoprotein. It is involved in the co-translational targeting of proteins to membranes. The eukaryotic SRP consists of a 300-nucleotide 7S RNA and six proteins: SRPs 72, 68, 54, 19, 14, and 9. The record is from Rfam. NCBI's taxonomy places the organism in Eukaryota, Metazoa, Chordata, Mammalia, Primates, Hylobatidae.
GCUGUGCAUGGUGGUGUAUACCUGUAGUCCCAGCUAUUUGGGAGGUUGAGGUAGGAGGAUCGCUUGAGCUCAGGAGUUAUGAGCUAUGGUGCAUUAUGCUGAUCAGGUGUCUGAACUAAGUUCAGCAUAAUAUGGUGACCUCCGAGGAGCAGGGUGGUGGGGGGGCCCCACAAGGUUGCCUAAGGAAGGGCAAACAGGCCCAGUUCAGAAAUGCAACAGGUCAAAACUCCCAUGCUGAUCAGUAGUGAGAUCGUGCCUGUAAACAGCCACUGCACUCCAGCCUGGGCAACACAGCGAAACCUUGUCACUU